Molecule: ribosomal RNA, 425 nt
Filed under: uncultured Pseudomonas sp.
Lineage: Bacteria; Pseudomonadati; Pseudomonadota; Gammaproteobacteria; Pseudomonadales; Pseudomonadaceae
Description: bacterial SSU rRNA
Rfam family: Bacterial small subunit ribosomal RNA
Source: RNAcentral
AGAGUUUGAUCCUGGCUCAGACGAACGCUGGCGGCAGGCCUAACACAUGCAAGUCGAGCGGAUGAGUGGAGCUUGCUCCAUGAUUCAGCGGCGGACGGGUGAGUAAUGCCUAGGAAUCUGCCUGGUAGUGGGGGACAACGUUUCGAAAGGAACGCUAAUACCGCAUACGUCCUACGGGAGAAAGCAGGGGACCUUCGGGCCUUGCGCUAUCAGAUGAGCCUAGGUCGGAUUAGCUAGUUGGUGAGGUAAAGGCUCACCAAGGCGACGAUCCGUAACUGGUCUGAGAGGAUGAUCAGUCACACUGGAACUGAGACACGGUCCAGACUCCUACGGGAGGCAGCAGUGGGGAAUAUUGGACAAUGGGCGAAAGCCUGAUCCAGCCAUGCCGCGUGAGUGAUGAAGGCCUUAGGGUUGUAAAGCACUUU